Long non-coding RNA from Erpetoichthys calabaricus (reedfish), 208 nucleotides. RefSeq lists it as uncharacterized. Lineage: Eukaryota; Metazoa; Chordata; Cladistia; Polypteriformes; Polypteridae. The transcript has 2 exons. The record is from RefSeq and is a predicted model, not a curated record.
GAGAAGGAGAAAGAUGAGGCAGAGGUCCAAGUAAAUCCAUGCCAUUCAAACCUGUUUGCAGGACUUGAUUAAACUCUGGAUUCCAAAGCUUCUGGAACUCUGACCCUUUGAUUUCAUCCCUUAAAAAAUGUACACAAACCAAAAAUGUUAAUUUUUUGGUCUUUUCAUUUGAUAUGCCACAAUGACAAUGUAUCCUCCAAACUCUGAA